RNAcentral lists this ribosomal RNA (441 nucleotides) under Diestostemma sp. U70. RNAcentral's name for it is "partial large subunit ribosomal RNA". The record is from RNAcentral. Lineage: Eukaryota; Metazoa; Arthropoda; Insecta; Hemiptera; Cicadellidae.
UUCUGCCCAAUGAUUAAUUUUAAAUGGCUGCAGUAUAUUGACUGUGCAAAGGUAGCAUAAUAGUUAGUCUUUUAAUUGGAGACUUGUAUGAAUGAAUACAUGAGAAAUUUUUUUUAUUAUAAUUAUUUUUAUAAUUUAAUUUUUAGGUAAGAAAGCUUAAUUACUUUUUUGGGACGAGAAGACCCUAUAGAACUUUAAUUUUUAAUUUUAUAAAUUAUUUUGGUUAUUUAUUUUUUUUAUCCUUUUGAAAUUUUUUAUUGGGGUGAUAAAUAAAUAUAACUUUAUUUUUUUUGUUCAUUAGUUUAUGAUUAGUCUGAUCCUGUAUUAAUAGAUUAUAAGAUAAAGUUACCUUAGGGAUAACAGCGUAAUUUUUAUGGAAAGUUCAUAUUUAUAUAAAAGUUUGCGACCUCGAUGUUGAAUUAAGAUAAGAUUAUGGAGCAG